RNAcentral lists this ribosomal RNA (499 nucleotides) under uncultured bacterium. RNAcentral's name for it is "partial 16S ribosomal RNA". It matches the Rfam family "Bacterial small subunit ribosomal RNA", at positions 28 to 507 of the family's 1533-position model. The record is from RNAcentral.
GACGAACGCUGGCGGCGUGCCUAAUACAUGCAAGUCGAGCGGACUUUCAAGAAGCUUGCUUUUUGAAAGUUAGCGGCGGACGGGUGAGUAACACGUGGGCAACCUGCCUGCAAGACGGGGAUAACUCCGGGAAACCGGGGCUAAUACCGGAUAAUAUCUUCCUUCGCAUGAAGGAAGGUUGAAAGGCGGCGCAAGCUGCCGCUUGCAGAGGGGCCCGCGGCGCAUUAGCUAGUUGGUGAGGCAACGGCUCACCAAGGCGACGAUGCGUAGCCGACCUGAGAGGGUGGUCGGCCCCCCUGGGACUUGGACACGGCCCCGGCUCCUACGGGAGGCAGCCGUAGGGAAUCUUCCGCCAUGGACGAAAGUCUGACGGAGCCACGCCGGGUGAGCGGAGAAGGUCUUCCGAUCGUAAAGCUCUGUUGUCAGGGAAGAACAAGUACCGUUCGAACAGCGCGGUACCUUGACGGUACCUGACCAGAAAGCCACGGCUAACUACGUG